CAGUCGAACGAAACUUCUUUAUCACCGAGUGCUUGCACUCACCGAUCAUGAGUUGAGUGGCGAACGGGUGAGUAACACGUGGGCAACCUGCCCAAAAGAGGGGGAUAACACUUGGAAACAGGUGCUAAUACCGCAUAACCAUAGUUACCGCAUGGUAACUAUGUAAAAGGUGGCUAUACUACCGCUUUUGGAUGGGCCCGCGGCGCAUUAGCUAGUUGGUAGGGUAAAGGCUUACCAAGGCAAUGAUGCGUAGCCGAAUUGAGAGGUUGAUCGGCCACAUUGGGACUGAGACACGGCCCAAACUCCUACGGGAGGCAGCAGUAGGGAAUCUUCCACAAUGGGCGAAAGCCUGAUGGAGCAACGCCGCGUGGGUGAAGAAGGUCUUCGGAUCGUAAAACCCUGUUGUUAGAGAAGAAAGUGCGUGAGAGUAACUGUUCACGUUUCGACGGUAUCUAACCAGAAAGCCACGGCUAACUACGUGCCAGCAGCCGCGGUAAUACGUAGGUGGCAAGCGUUAUCCGGAUUUAUUGGGCGUAAAGGGAACGCAGGCGGUCUUUUAAGUCUGAUGUGAAAGCCUUCGGCUUAACCGGAGUAGUGCAUUGGAAACUGGGAGACUUGAGUGCAGAAGAGGAGAGUGGAACUCCAUGUGUAGCGGUGAAAUGCGUAGAUAUAUGGAAGAACACCAGUGGCGAAAGCGGCUCUCUGGUCUGUAACUGACGCUGAGGUUCGAAAGCGUGGGUAGCAAACAGGAUUAGAUAUCCUGGUAGUCCACGCCGUAAACGAUGAAUGCUAAGUGU
RNAcentral lists this ribosomal RNA (797 nucleotides) under uncultured bacterium. RNAcentral's name for it is "bacterial SSU rRNA". It matches the Rfam family "Bacterial small subunit ribosomal RNA", at positions 59 to 823 of the family's 1533-position model. The record is from RNAcentral.